Molecule: transfer RNA, 74 nt
Organism: Cryptosporidium parvum Iowa II
Lineage: Eukaryota; Apicomplexa; Conoidasida; Eucoccidiorida; Cryptosporidiidae
Rfam family: tRNA
About the family: Transfer RNA (tRNA) molecules are approximately 80 nucleotides in length. Their secondary structure includes four short double-helical elements and three loops (D, anti-codon, and T loops).
Source: Rfam
GGAGCUGUCGCAUAGUUGGCUAGUGCGCGAGAUUCAUACCCUCGAGGUCACGGGUUCGAGUCCCGUCAGCUCCU